CCUACGGGUGGCAGCAGUGGGGAAUAUUGGACAAUGGGGGGAACCCUGAUCCAGCCAUGCCGCGUGUGUGAAGAAGGCCCUCGGGUUGUAAAGCACUUUCAGUGAGGAAGAACGCCUGGUGGUUAAUACCCAUCAGGAAAGACAUCACUCACAGAAGAAGCACCGGCUAACUCCGUGCCAGCAGCCGCGGUAAUACGGAGGGUGCGAGCGUUAAUCGGAAUUACUGGGCGUAAAGCGCGCGUAGGUGGCUUGAUAAGCCGGUUGUGAAAGCCCCGGGCUCAACCUGGGAACGGCAUCCGGAACUGUCAAGCUAGAGUGCAGGAGAGGAAGGUAGAAUUCCCGGUGUAGCGGUGAAAUGCGUAGAGAUCGGGAGGAAUACCGGUGGCGAAGGCGGCCUUCUGGACUGACACUGACACUGAGGUGCGAAAGCGUGGGUAGCAAACAGGAUUAGAUACCCGAGUAGUC
RNAcentral lists this ribosomal RNA (465 nucleotides) under Vreelandella stevensii. RNAcentral describes it as "partial 16S ribosomal RNA". It matches the Rfam family "Bacterial small subunit ribosomal RNA", at positions 338 to 795 of the family's 1533-position model. Lineage: Bacteria; Pseudomonadati; Pseudomonadota; Gammaproteobacteria; Oceanospirillales; Halomonadaceae. The record is from RNAcentral.